This 1252-nucleotide ribosomal RNA is filed under the name metagenome. RNAcentral describes it as "bacterial LSU rRNA". It matches the Rfam family "Bacterial large subunit ribosomal RNA", at positions 1634 to 2878 of the family's 2925-position model. The record is from RNAcentral.
AUAUACGACCGUACCGCAAACCGACACUGGUGCGCGAGAUGAGUAUUCUAAGGCGCUUGAGAGAACUCAGGAGAGGGAACUCGGCAAAUUGACACCGUAACUUCGGAAGAAGGUGUGCCCUAUUAGUGUGUAGUGAACAACGAAGCAUGAAUGGGUUGCAAAAAAUCGGUGGCUGCGACUGUUUAUUAAAAACACAGCACUCUGCAAACACGAAAGUGGACGUAUAGGGUGUGACGCCUGCCCGGUGCUGGAAGAUUAAAUGAUGGGGUGCAAGCUCUUGAUUGAAGUCCCAGUAAACGGCGGCCGUAACUAUAACGGUCCUAAGGUAGCGAAAUUCCUUGUCGGGUAAGUUCCGACCUGCACGAAUGGCGUAACGAUGGCCACACUGUCUCCUCCUGAGACUCAGCGAAGUUGAAAUGUUUGUGAUGAUGCAAUCUCCCCGCGGAAAGACGGAAAGACCCCAUGAACCUUUACUGUAGCUUUGUAUUGGACUUUGAACAGAUCUGUGUAGGAUAGGUGGGAGGCUUUGAAGCAGGGUCGCUAGAUCUUGUGGAGCCAACGUUGAAAUACCACCCUGGUGUGUUUGAGGUUCUAACCUAGGUCCAUUAUCUGGAUCGGGGACAGUGCAUGGUACGCAGUUUGACUGGGGCGGUCUCCUCCCAAAGCGUAACGGAGGAGUUCGAAGGUACGCUAGUUACGGUCGGACAUCGUGACGAUAGUGCAAUGGCAUAAGCGUGCUUAACUGCGAGACUGACAAGUCGAGCAGAUGCGAAAGCAGGACAUAGUGAUCCGGUGGUUCUGUAUGGAAGGGCCAUCGCUCAACGGAUAAAAGGUACUCUGGGGAUAACAGGCUGAUACCGCCCAAGAGUUCAUAUCGACGGCGGUGUUUGGCACCUCGAUGUCGGCUCAUCUCAUCCUGGGGCUGUAGCCGGUCCCAAGGGUAUGGCUGUUCGCCAUUUAAAGAGGUACGUGAGCUGGGUUUAAAACGUCGUGAGACAGUUUGGUCCCUAUCUUCCGUGGGCGCUGCAGAUUUGAGGAAGCCUGCUCCUAGUACGAGAGGACCGGAGUGGACACACCUCUGGUGUAUCGGUUGUCACGCCAGUGGCAUUGCCGAGUAGCUAAGUGUGGAAGAGAUAACCGCUGAAAGCAUCUAAGCGGGAGACUCGUUUCAAGAUGAGAUCUGCCGGGGCCUUGAGCCCCCUAAAGAGUCGUUCAAGACCAGGACGUUGAUAGGUCAGGUGUGGAAGCGAAA